GGUAUUCAAGAAUUUGGGUCUUCAAAUCCAAAAAAGCAAACCUGCUUUUCAUUUUUUAAGUUUCGGUUUCGUAGCACGGCGAACCAUCAAUUGACGCGGGAACACCGAACUACAAAUUAACAAGAUAUCCUCAAUGGUUCUAAUGGCUUGGUUUCAGGCUGUGAAUCUUGCUGUAGCAGUGCUGCCAAAAGUAUGGAAUUUCGUCGAACCAUUUGCAAAGGCUUCGAGUUGUAUGAAAAAGAACCAUUCACGUUUUGUGGGAAAGCUGAAAACCUUACGUGCAAUAAGGGUCGAUUUGAAAAAUAGAGCCACCCAAUACAGGUCAACAAUGGAGCGGACCAUGGACGACUGGUUUUAUAGGGUGAUGGAUGUCGAAAAGCGAGCACAAGAACUUGAAGACAAGUUCCAAAGGAAACAAAGCUCUAUAAAUGUCGUUACCCGAUCAAAGUUGAGCAAACGAAUGACGAAGAUGAUCUUAGAAAUAACCGAACUCGUAAAUGAGGGCAACAAAUUGUGGGAUACUUUUAUUAAUGAGUAGUGAACUUAAAAAGCAGUAUAUGCAUCCUUGUGUAAAUUUGCUAAUAUUUGUUUGCAAAAAAACAUAAGAAAAGAUCUGGAUCCUUAUCAUUUUUAAUUUUUAAAUCUACCUAUGAAUCGUGCUUGAUACG
Molecule: long non-coding RNA, 668 nt
Organism: Cynara cardunculus var. scolymus (artichoke)
Lineage: Eukaryota; Viridiplantae; Streptophyta; Magnoliopsida; Asterales; Asteraceae
Exons: 3
Source: RefSeq, a predicted model, not a curated record